CGGCGGACGGGUGAGUAACACGUGGAUAACCUACCUAUAAGACUGGGAUAACUUCGGGAAACCGGAGCUAAUACCGGAUAAUAUAUUGAACCGCAUGGUUCAAUAGUGAAAGACGGUUUUGCUGUCACUUAUAGAUGGAUCCGCGUCGCAUUAGCUAGUUGGUAAGGUAACGGCUUACCAAGGCAACGAUGCGUAGCCGACCUGAGAGGGUGAUCGGCCACACUGGAACUGAGACACGGUCCAGACUCCUACGGGAGGCAGCAGCC
This 266-nucleotide ribosomal RNA is filed under the name uncultured Staphylococcus sp. Its description in RNAcentral is "partial 16S ribosomal RNA". It matches the Rfam family "Bacterial small subunit ribosomal RNA", at positions 96 to 355 of the family's 1533-position model. Lineage: Bacteria; Bacillati; Bacillota; Bacilli; Caryophanales; Staphylococcaceae. The record is from RNAcentral.